UCAGGUACUGGUGACCAACGAUCUCUGAGGAAGAAGGAGACCCACAGCCUACUGUAAGUGACGGAGCCGGAAUAGAAGCAGUAACAUUCUUACACGAAGACAGACUACUUCCAGAACUGGUGAAGCCAUGAUGAAAGAAGAGGAGAAGAAUCAGAGGACCUGAGAACAGCAGUCAUCUGAGCUUGUCUUCUGCCUUCUAUUGGUCCUCUGAGGAUAACUACAAAGGCCGAGGACCAAGCGGCUCCCGGUGCUGCCACUGACAUCUGUAACACUGAUUUGACGCCACUGCAUUUCGAGGCCAGGAAGUGUGCUAUCACUGCAUCUGGAACCCUUGUGGCCUGGGAGAAAGAGAUGUCUUCUACCUCUCAAUACCUCUUUUUUAAGUUGGCGGAGAGGAAAAGGAAACCUGGAGUCAUGCAGCCUCUAGUGAGGGGUUGAAAAUGUGGGUCAAACCACAGACUACCAACCCUGUCCUUAUGACGUCACUUGGUAAAUUGACUUGGAACAAGCUUCAAAGCACUUCACAGACAGACCCAGGAGCAAAGGAGCUGGCAAGAAGAGCUAUGAAUCAUGGGAAAGCAGAAAAUGGCUGUGGGUGGUGGCCUUUAUAAUAUAGCCCUCUGAGGGCAAAGGAAUAUUGUGAACAAGAUCUAAAGGAAGAGAAGGAGCACGCUAUCAGGUAUGUGAUUCCUGUACUGGUUAUCAUCAGGAAGGGGCAUGCGUUGAGGGUAUUCUGGGUAAAGCAUGGACAUGGCUGGAUUCAAGUGAACAGAGAAAACAGGUCAGAGAAGGAAUUAUGGUAGUUGGGGAGGUACGGCAGAUCAUUUCAGUGGCUUUACUGACCACAUGAAUAUGUUAUUCUGAGUGAACUGGGAAGACACUGUGGAGCUUCGUGGAAGAGUGGCAUAUUUUGGCUAGUGUUUUAAAAGCAUUAUGCCAGGUAAAAAGUGACCUGGGCCCAGAUCAGAUCAUGAAUAUACCCCAUAUCUAAGAAGGGCCACAUUUCUAAAAUAUGGUAUAUGAAAGAGAAAAAUUAGGAUUGAUAAUGAUAAUGAGAUUUUUCCAGGAUGGAAGGAUAGGACUAAUAUUUUGCCGAUCUGGAGAAGACCAUGAAUUGCUGUUUUGGGACACAGUAUACAUUCAAAUGAAGAUGCUUAUUAGAAAAUUAAGCAUAUGAAUCCAGCCUUCAGGAAGGAGGCCGGGAAUGGGGAUGAAGAUGUGGCUGAUGCCAUUAUAUAGGUGAUUUUUAAGGCUCCAGGAUGGAAGAGAUUCACCUGGAAAGGGGAUAACCAGUACUAGCUGCUAGCACCUGCCGACAAAGGGGCAAUUCCAGUGCACAGGAGCGAUCUCGGGAAGCAUUUCCUGGCUGUGUCAAAGGCCACAGAUAAGCAGCAUGUGGCCAGAGACCUGGCUGCUGCACUGGACAGGGAGGCAGCCACUAACACCCUUAGCAAAGCCUCUGUCCUGGGGAUGAAAGACUGAUUUAAAAUAGCUCAAAAGGCCAAGGAAAGAAAUUCAGUUAGUGCGUAGACACAAUUCCUCCAGGGCAGUUUUUCUUUGCAGGGGAGCAGACCAAUAAACGGAAGUGAAGUGGAGCUGUGGGGCCGAGGAGAGGGUGUCCCAGGACACCGUGUCACUAGUGGGUGGACUCCUCCCGCGGAGUGGGAGAUACUGGUGUGCUAAAGGGAAAGGGGUCUGGGUGGAGCACAGCCUUUGUCUUGGAAAGAUGUGUAAGACACACCACGGGCCACCGGAAGAGCUUCCCCCUAUGGCUCUGGGAGCUUCUAUAGUCUACAGUCAUUGAUAAUAAGUUUCGCCAGCCGAGAUCAGGACAAUGAGAAGCCAGGUUAUUGUAGGUGUGUCUAAAUGGAUACCCAAGCCAUCAAGCAUUCAGAAGGGCAGUGCUGGAAAUGGCAGGGGGCUAAGGGCUGAAUACGUGAGCAACACGGGACUGGGGGGGUGCUCAGGGACCUUCUCAGGGGACGAAAGGCUUCAGAGGAGUGGGUAUUGGGAAGAGCAAGGUGAAUUUCAAUCUGGAAACGAGGAAUUAUCGUGUGUCUUGUUCCUAUUAAUAGUCCAUCACACAUACUUCCUCUGUAACAACGGAACAUAGCAGGUCUCAGGUUGUGGGUCUAGGGAAUCUUUGGUGUAGAGCUAACCAAAGUCUUCCUGACUGCAGCAUGAGCAUCAUAGAAAGUACUUCUUGAAGAACUGUUGUAGAAGUGAAGGAAAACAAAUACUUCAAAGUUUCAACUGGAAGAAAUUUUCAGGAAGAUACAUAGGUACAACUUCAUCCAGUUUUGCAGACUUUCAACCAUUCAAAACACAUUUGGAAAUGAGAGGUUUAAAAAUGUAAGCAAUCAUAGGCACAGCAAAGGAGUACUUUCCCUCCUAGUAUUACAGACUUGCUAUCUCUCUACAGCUGAAAUGUAAAGAGGGAAAGUCUGUUUGAAACAUGCAGUUUUGAAAUGCACUCAGCCUGCUGUCCUUCCCCAACGCGUGAAAGUCUGACUUAGGGAAAUGUCUCGUGUUCCUCAAACAAACCACAGCGUGCUUUAGCCUGGGGGAAGGCAUAGCAAAGGUGCAGCUGAGGCUCGGGUGUUUGCCGGGACCAAUAGGGAUCCAUGGCUGGGAACGGCACUGCCUUCCUGACAGCGUUGUUUGCGAGCCCAUCAGAGAUAAAUCAUCAACACCAAACUCACGCAGGUGAGUGAGUGGGUGCAAAGACGACCACACACGGCCGGAGGUCGGAAAGCCGGGGAACUGUUUUUAUUUCCAAUUGUGUUUUCUAGAUUUCACCCGAAUGUUUAGCGGGAUUUUGAUCUGACUUGAAAUAGUACAAACCUUAUCCAGGGAUCUUCUGUCUAGAAACUUUCGGGGAGAUCUUUGUUGUUCUGUGUUGUGUGCAGAAGAAUGAAGUUCAGUGCACAGUGUCAUGAUCUCAGAUUGUUUAAUGCUGUGCAAACUGUUGACUAUCACAAAUGUCUAUGGAGGGAUUUCCAGAACAAUGACGCAGUAUGGAAAUAACACAACACUAGAAAAUACUUGGCAAAAGUGUACAUGUUGUCAGCUGGGGACCUGCAAACUGUGAAAAGCUUUUACUCUUUGUUGGGCUCUGGAAAAGAGAUCCUUUAAGUUGACACUGUGUGAGACUCAUGGGAAGACAGCUCAUUUUAGGGUCCCUAAUACUGCUGUAGUGAGCAAGGCCAAAUACAAUGGCAUCUAUGAGAAAUUCCAGCAGGUAAAUAAAAAAAAUUGGACUUUAGGGGUUAAAUUUUGUGUUAUAAUUAUGUAGUCUCAGGGAAAGCAAGUUCUUGGCUUGUCAGAUGGUUCGUAUGCAUUGUCUGAGACAUUUAUAUUUCAUUUUUCAGGAAUGAACUAAAAGGUAAUUAUUAAUUUACAACUGUUGAGAUGGCCAGAACAUAGUACCAGAGAGUCUCUGGAGUGUUUGGAGCAUGGGAGAUUUUCUCAUGCUUUCCUGCAAUGUGUUAUGGUCAAAGUUUCAUCAACACCUAUAUCUUCCUUCUUAACAAUGACACAGCACACUGUAUAUGGUAAAGCAGUCAGCAUAAAGGCGAUGGUGCCCGUGCACGUGGACUUUCCGAGACAGCACACACAGAGCGCUUGCACGGUUCGAGGCUACGGGGACAUGAACUUGUACACACAGUAGCAGGGAAAGCAGUUUCAAAAGGGAACCUUGUGACUGUGGAGUCAGACUUUGGCCCUUCUUUGUCAAUGGACAAAACCCAAAUGGCUCAGGCCUGAGCAUCACCCCUCUUUCUAAACGACUGCACAGGAGAGACCAGAGACAAAACGGUCAGUGCAUCACGAGAGCAGACAGAAAACUGUUAGAAGCAGAUAGUGACAACCAGAAACUACAGUGACUUUGAAAAAUGUGCACUUGGUGCGAGGUCUGUUAGGCGUGUACCCCAGGAAGCGAUGGUGGGUAAUGUUAGAGGCACAGAACCCCAUCUAAGUGGCCUUGUGAGAGUUUGCCCUAAUCUUAAUGUACCCCAUUGAAUAAGAAUCAUGAUAAUACAAGCAAGUCUAGGUCUUGAAGUUUGUUUAAAAUUCCCUAAGAAAAUUCACUGAGCUCCAUCUAACUAGAGCUAUCAAGUUUCUUGUGGUACUUAAUGUAAGUUGUUGUUUGUAUGUUGUGGGAUGGCCAUAUACGAUCUGAAUGGAAUCAGAUCAAGCCAUCUCCAUCAUUCACUGGAUACAGGAAUCCAAACUACAACAUCCUGGCCAGCACUGAAGCACGAUGGUCUCUUUCUAGGUCCCAGCCAAAGCUAUGGUGUGGCCUUGUUCAGUUAGUUUGCUGAAUGGUCAGCAGUUUAGUGUGUUGAGGAUGGGCAGGUCUACUAAAGUUUAAUUUGGGGGAAGGCGGUUUUUCCUUGUAGAAAAAUAGAAACCUGAUUAAUUUCUAUGAACAAAACCUUCUUAAAGGAAAGAUCAAAACAGAAGAAAUUUUAAAUUACACUAAGUAAAGAGAUCUCACCCACCAGAAAAAAUAAGCAAACAAAAGGAAAUCCACCCCCAAAUUUGGGAACUGUAUAAUGAACCCCAAGGAACCAUUCUGAUAUAUUUUUGCAUGACCAAGGUCUCACGGUGUUAGGGUUGAGACCCAUCAUAAAUGCCAGAAUAUUUACUUUUGAAGGUAACUGCCUCAAG
Peromyscus maniculatus bairdii (prairie deer mouse) is the source of this 4671-nucleotide non-coding RNA. The record is from RefSeq and is a predicted model, not a curated record. NCBI's taxonomy places the organism in Eukaryota, Metazoa, Chordata, Mammalia, Rodentia, Cricetidae.